RNAcentral lists this ribosomal RNA (459 nucleotides) under uncultured bacterium. RNAcentral describes it as "partial 16S ribosomal RNA". It matches the Rfam family "Bacterial small subunit ribosomal RNA", at positions 338 to 795 of the family's 1533-position model. The record is from RNAcentral.
CCUACGGGAGGCAGCAGUGAGGAAUAUUGGUCAAUGGGAGAGAUCCUGAACCAGCCAAGCCGCGUGAGGGAAGACGGCCCGAUGGGUUGUAAACCUCAUUUGUCGGAGAACAAAACCCGGGACGUGUCCCGGACUGCGUGUAUCCGAAGAAAAAGCAUCGGCUAACUCCGUGCCAGCAGCCGCGGUAAGACGGGGGAUGCGAGCGUUAUCCGGUUUUAUUGGGUUUAAAGGGUGCGUAGGCGGUCCGUUAAGUCAGCGGUAAAAGUGCGGGGCUCAACCCCGCCGCGCCGUUGAAACUGGCAGACUUGAGUUGGCGAGAAGUACGCGGAAUGCGCGGUGUAGCGGUGAAAUGCAUAGAUAUCGCGCAGAACUCCGAUUGCGAAGGCAGCGUACCGGCGCCCGACUGACGCUGAGGCACGAAAGCGUGGGGAUCGAACAGGAUUAGAUACCCUUGUAGUC